UCCCCGCCCCCCGGGACGCGCUCGCUUGCAGCCUUUUAGGACCCUGCGCCCCGGUGCCCGGCUGGCCGCCGCCGUCGCUCGGGGUUCCAGGCACCCUGGUCCGGGAAGCACUCGAAGGAAGCCCAGGGCCAUGUCCGUCGUGGGAAGACACGAGGAAAAUAGCGCCUGGAACACACGGACCCAAGUGGUCCCAGCCCCUGUCGGGAGGCAAUUCUGCCGAAACUCGGGGGGCACUGGUCCAGGACCGGGCCCAGGGUGACAGGGGCCUGUCCCAGGCACGGAGCAGCUGGACUCGAGCCUGGCAGGCGUAGAGGCCGCUGGCAGAGCCGCGCCUUCGCAGGCCUGAGAGUACUGUCCCCGUCGGCGCGCUCGCUGGAGUAACGGUGGCACUGGCUGUUGCCCGGGGCGUCUCCGGAGCACGUAUUGGGAGAGUGCCCUGAAUUCCUGGGGCAGCCCCAAGGACAGAAAUCCAGCCCUUAGCUGCGUCCUACUUGGGGUAAGGACGACUAGACUUCAGGGGCUCCGGGCUCGUGGCGGCUCCAGCCCCUUUCAUUUGUGGGCCCCCGCACUCAGCCACUUCCGUGAGGACGCUCGCAGAAGCCGCUUCGGGGAGGAAUCAAGGGAAGGCCUGGGUCUUACGGCGCCAGGUUCACAUUGGGAAAGUAUUUUGAAGACAUAGAAGGUGACCAGAAAGACUAGAAAAGAUUUUUGGCUGCCAAGGGGCAAAAAGAAAUGACCAUUCAGGUUUUUGCCAAAAACAUCCUGAGCUUCGGCAUUGUGCUGAUCAAUUGCCUUCUUACGAUCCAGUUUUGAAUGGAGACCAGAUACAUCUUUUGUAGUU
Long non-coding RNA from Leopardus geoffroyi (Geoffroy's cat), 841 nucleotides. RefSeq lists it as uncharacterized. Lineage: Eukaryota; Metazoa; Chordata; Mammalia; Carnivora; Felidae. The transcript is spliced from 3 exons. The record is from RefSeq and is a predicted model, not a curated record.